RNAcentral lists this ribosomal RNA (497 nucleotides) under uncultured bacterium. RNAcentral describes it as "partial 16S ribosomal RNA". It matches the Rfam family "Bacterial small subunit ribosomal RNA", at positions 28 to 507 of the family's 1533-position model. The record is from RNAcentral.
GAUGAACGCUGGCGGCGUGCCUAAUACAUGCAAGUCGAGCGAACGGACGAGAAGCUUGCCUCUCUGAUGUUAGCGGCGGACGGGUGAGUAACACGUGGAUAACCUACCUAUAAGACUGGGAUAACUUCGGGAAACCGGAGCUAAUACCGGAUAAUAUUUUGCACCGCAUGGUUCAACAGUGAAAGUCGGUCUUGCUGACACUUAUAGAUGGAUACGCGCUGCAUUAGCUAGUUGGUAAGGUAACGGCUUACCAAGGCAACGAUGCAUAGCCGACCUGAGAGGGUGAUCGGCCAGACUGGAACUGAGGCACGGUCCAGACUCCUACGGGAGGCAGCAGUAGGGAAUCUUCCGCAAUGGGCGAAAGCCUGACGGAGCAACGCCGCGUGAGUGAUGAAGGUCUUCGGAUCGUAAAACUCUGUUAUUAGGGAAGAACAUAUGUGUAAGUAACUGUGCACAUCGUGACGGUACCUAAUCAGAAAGCCACGGCUAACUACGUG